CUACGGGGUGCUGCAGUUAAGGAUAUUCUGCAAUACACGAAAGUGUGACAGAGCGAGCCAGAGUGCUUCUCUAUAAUUGAGAAGCUUUUGUGAGAUGUAAAAAGUCUUACGAAUAAGGACUGGGCAAGACUGGUGCCAGCCGCCGCGGUAAUCCCAGCAGUCCAAGUCGCAAUCACAAUUAUUGGGUCUAAAACAUCCGUAGCUUGCUUUGUAAGUCUCUUGUGAAAUCCGGCCUCUUAAGGGUCGAAGUGCGAGAGAUACUGCAUAGCUAGAGACCGGGAGAGGUAAGAAGUACAAACAGGGUAGCGGUAAAAUGUGUUGAUCCUGUUUGGACUAACAACAGCGAAGGCAUCUUACUAGAACGGAUCUGACAGUGAGGGAUGAAGGCUAGGGGCGCAAAGUGGAUUAGAUACCCUUGUAGUC
RNAcentral lists this ribosomal RNA (423 nucleotides) under uncultured archaeon. RNAcentral's name for it is "partial 16S ribosomal RNA". It matches the Rfam family "Archaeal small subunit ribosomal RNA", at positions 323 to 746 of the family's 1478-position model. The record is from RNAcentral.